GUGUGUGUGUGUGUGUGUGUGUGUGUGUGUGUGCAAUGCAGACCUAUGCCUUACUGUAAAUGUUUCAUAAUCUGUACAAGCUUCUUUUGAAGUGAUCUAAAUUGGAUUUUGAAAGGAAUUAAAGAGUAAGAUAAACCAGUGCCCAAAAGUUUUGCUUCCCACCUGCAAUAUUGGCAGGAAAGAUUUACAAGGGGAUUUGACCUCCUUAACUAUUUCUUUUUGUCCCCUGCCCCAGUGAAAGAGCUACUUCUGCCUCAGCUAAAUUGCGGAAGACACUUUGACUGCACUCUGACUUCUAGCUAAAGAGGUAGGGAGCUCUGCUCUUGUAGUCGGAGAGCAGCAGUCAGUUCUGUGGGAUGCCCUCCUGCUGAAGGAUGGAUAUGUAAAAUUCUGUUGAAUGAUAGGAAAUGCCCCCGAAGAUUCCAGGCCAGUGAUACCAGCAUCACUUGGAGACGUGUUUGAAAUGGACAUUUGCAGGACAGCCUUUCUUGUCACAUUAGAGUUCAGGAGGAACCGAACCAAAAUGAACUUCCAGUACAUGGCCUCCAUACUAGAGACUUGAAUCAUCUGGAGACGGGCCAAGAAGUCAGUAUUUUUCAACCCUUUCUAGAGCUUGUGAGCACCUCACACCCCCUCGAGACAACCCUCAGAUGCUCUGUGAGGAGCCGUGCAUCCAUCACCUCAGGCUGCUGAAAAGCUGGCUACAGGCUGGGUGACUCGUAACUCAAGCAAUAAUUGGCUCUGACAGACGCUCUUAGACGGGCUCAGCUGCCUGGAGGAGUCACAUAUCAACAGACCUGGCCCGCUACUCUCCGAAAUCUGUAGCGCUGCUUGCAAGUUGUAUAGUGAUCUCCAGGUUUCUAGUAUUCAGGAGCCGUGGUGGGUUUCCCCAAGCUAGGAUAGGCUUUUAUUGAUAUGGCUGUCUCUCAGUCAGCUCCAUGUAAACCCUCAUUCAUACUCCUGUAGGUAAACCCAAUAACUCAGUGAUUCAGCAAAUUGGACUUUGGUGGCAUCAUUACUUUGGUCUGUCAUUGCGUCCUAUUUAGCUUUAGUCCAUGUUUGUCCUUAUUGCCCCAGGAAGCGUAUCAUACGGCGUCACAGCAUAAUGGUCCUUCAUCUGAAAUUGUUGCUUCUGAGUUUCCAUCGUGGAAUAAAAUAGGCACAGGCAUUCAUGCAAACAUCUUGAAAAUUAGCUGAGUUUUCCCUCUGGAUAGAAGCAUGUCUUCUUAGCUCUCUGGAGUAUAGUGAGCACCAUCACUUACUAAAAUAUUUCCUUUAUUGAAAUAUUUAGUCACAUUUUUUCAUUGUGUGUGUGUGUGUGUGUGUGUGUGUGUGUGUGUGUGUGUAUGUGUGUGUGCAUCCCAUAGAACAACUUGUGGGAGUCAGUACACUCCUUCCACCAUGUUGACCACUCCUGGGAUUAAGGUCAGGUGAUUAAAUUUUGGGUCAGGGUGUGCAGACCCUGCCUGGAACACUGUUUUUCUUUUUCU
This is a non-coding RNA of Myodes glareolus (Bank vole), 1490 nucleotides long. NCBI's taxonomy places the organism in Eukaryota, Metazoa, Chordata, Mammalia, Rodentia, Cricetidae. The record is from RefSeq and is a predicted model, not a curated record.